GGUUCCAUAGUGUAGUGGUUAGCAUGCCUGCCUUACAAGCACAGAGUGCUGGGUUCAAUUCCCAGAGGAACCA
This is a non-coding RNA of Cynoglossus semilaevis (tongue sole), 73 nucleotides long. NCBI's taxonomy places the organism in Eukaryota, Metazoa, Chordata, Actinopteri, Pleuronectiformes, Cynoglossidae. The record is from the annotation of a RefSeq genome assembly.